This 568-nucleotide long non-coding RNA is filed under the name Homo sapiens (human). RNAcentral's name for it is "novel transcript". Lineage: Eukaryota; Metazoa; Chordata; Mammalia; Primates; Hominidae. The record is from RNAcentral.
UUGAAGCUCAGGGCUGCUGUCCAGCCCUGUCCACUCCCCUGUCAAGGGAUUGUAUCAUCAUUGCGAAACAAGCAUAUAAUCUUCUACGACUUCCAAGUACAUACAUAAUGGCACAAAGGAAUUAUAGUUUUUCAGAGCUCUUCCCUGAAACCAGAUGCCAUGACAAGUUGCUUUAAGGCAAGUUACUUGCCAGGCUUGGUGGUGUGCACCUGUAGUCCCAGCUACUCUGGAGGCUGAGGCAGGAGAAUCACUUGAACCCAGGAGGCAGAGGUUGCAGUGAGCCGAGAUCACGCCACUACACUCCAGCCUGGGCAGCAGAGCAAGACUCAAACAAUAAAUAAAUAAAUAAAUGACUCAUGAAUACUGCCAUUGUUCCAGAUAGCAGCAGAAUCCUUUUCUGGGAAUAAUUAUUUGGUGAUUUUUAUGGAGGAUACAAUUUGCUGGCAUCCUAGUGAAACUGUACUCAUUUUUAAAAUGUUUAGUAUACAAUAUAAAAGACUAAGAUUUGAAAGACUGAAAAUUGUACAUCGUUCAGAGGUUAUCAGUGUUCAUUAAAAUGUCACUAAUU